This 390-nucleotide ribosomal RNA is filed under the name uncultured bacterium. Its description in RNAcentral is "bacterial SSU rRNA". It matches the Rfam family "Bacterial small subunit ribosomal RNA", at positions 28 to 419 of the family's 1533-position model. The record is from RNAcentral.
GACGAACGCUGGCGGCGUGCUUAACACAUGCAAGUCGAGCGGUAAGGCCCUUUCGGGGGUACACGAGCGGCGAACGGGUGAGUAACACGUGGGUGACCUGCCCUCAGCUCUGGGAUAAGCCUGGGAAACCGGGUCUAAUACCGGAUAUGACUCCAUGACGCAUGUUGUGGGGUGAAAGCCUUGUGCGGCUGAGGAUGGGGCCCGCGGCCUAUCAGCUUGUUGGUGGGGUGANGGCCUACCAAGGCGACGACGGGUAGCCGGCCUGAGAGGGCGACCGGCCACACUGGGACUGAGACACGGCCCAGACUCCUACGGGAGGCAGCAGUGGGGAAUCUUGCGCAAUGGGCGAAAGCCUGACGCAGCGACGCCGCGUGAGGGAUGACGGCCUGG